AACGCACAUUGCGCCCUUUGGCAUUCCGAAGGGCAUGCCCGUUCGAGCGUCAUUAAACCCAAUCAAGCUUGGCUUGGUAUUAAGUAAUAGGGCGUCCCUAUACUUCAAUUUCACCGGCUGGCCGUCGCCCGUCUUAGCGUUGUGACAUCAAUUGUCGCUAUCGAUGGGAGCGGUCCACGCCGUUAUAAUUCGAUGAGUUUUAUUCAAAACUCUGACUCAGGUUGACCUCGGAUCGGGUAGGAAUACCCGCUGAACUUAA
This 259-nucleotide unclassified non-coding RNA is filed under the name uncultured fungus. Its description in RNAcentral is "sequence contains ITS2". Lineage: Eukaryota; Fungi. The record is from RNAcentral.